UACAGAGGGUGCGAGCGUUAAUCGGAAUUACUGGGCGUAAAGCGCACGUAGGCGGCUUGGUAUGUCGGGUGUGAAAUCCCCGGGCUCAACCUGGGAACUGCAUCCGAAACUGCCUUGCUAGAGUAUGGGAGAGGGAAGUGGAAUUUCCGGUGUAGCGGUGAAAUGCGUAGAUAUCAGGAGGAACACCGAUGGCGAAGGCAGGUCUCUGGGCCAUAACUGACGCUGAGAAGCGAAAGCAUGGGGAGCGAACAGG
Molecule: ribosomal RNA, 253 nt
Filed under: uncultured bacterium
Lineage: Bacteria
Description: partial 16S ribosomal RNA
Rfam family: Bacterial small subunit ribosomal RNA
Source: RNAcentral